This 398-nucleotide ribosomal RNA is filed under the name uncultured bacterium. RNAcentral describes it as "bacterial SSU rRNA". It matches the Rfam family "Bacterial small subunit ribosomal RNA", at positions 358 to 773 of the family's 1533-position model. The record is from RNAcentral.
AGAGGCUUCGGCAAUGGGGGAAACCCUGAUCCAGCGACGCCGCGUGGGUGACGAAGGCCUUAGGGUUGUAAAGCCCUUUUCUCGGGGAAGAUGAUGACGGUACCCGAGGAAUAAGCACCGGCUAACUCCGUGCCAGCAGCCGCGGUAAGACGGAGGGUGCUAGCGUUGUUCGGAAUUACUGGGCGUAAAGGGCGCGUAGGCGGCCCGAGAAGGCGGAUGUGAAAGCCCGGGGCUCAACCUCGGAACUGCAUUCGAAACUUUCGGGCUAGAGAACGGAAGAGGAGAGUGGAAUACCCAGUGUAGAGGUGAAAUUCGUAGAUAUUGGGUGGAACACCGGUGGCGAAAGCGGCUCUCUGGUCCGGAUCUGACGCUGAGGCGCGAAAGCGUGGGGAGCAAAC